Molecule: long non-coding RNA, 278 nt
Filed under: Elaeis guineensis (African oil palm)
Lineage: Eukaryota; Viridiplantae; Streptophyta; Magnoliopsida; Arecales; Arecaceae
Description: long non-coding RNA (EGUI_LNC027760)
Source: RNAcentral
AGGGGCUUAUUGUCCACCCAUCACUCUCUUUGCAGUAAUAGGAGCCUCUCUGAAAGUAAAAAUUCAAGGUGUAGUAGAUCAGAGAGGAAGAUCAGAACACGAGGUUUUUCUACCAGUCCACCAUCAUCCAGUGGCAUAGGAACUGGAUCAGGACGAUUACGAGUACUAUGGGAUAAUGGCUGACCACAGAUGAUGAGAUCAGAUGGAGGUUGUUCAGCUCUUCAGGUCCUGAUGGACGAUGUCUCUAGGAGGGGACUGGACCGCUCUCCCCCCUUCCA